GUAGGGAUCUUCCGCAAUGGGCGAAAGCCUGACGGAGCAAUGCCGCGUGAGUGAUGAAGGUUUUCGGAUCGUAAAGCUCUGUUGCCAGGGAAGAACGCUUGGGAGAGUAACUGCUCUCAAGGUGACGGUACCUGAGAAGAAAGCCCCGGCUAACUACGUGCCAGCAGCCGCGGUAAUACGUAGGGGGCAAGCGUUGUCCGGAAUUAUUGGGCGUAAAGCGCGCGCAGGCGGUCAUUUAAGUCUGGUGUUUAAUCCCGGGGCUCAACCCCGGAUCGCACUGGAAACUGGGUGACUUGAGUGCAGAAGAGGAGAGUGGAAUUCCACGUGUAGCGGUGAAAUGCGUAGAUAUGUGGAGGAACACCAGUGGCGAAGGCGACUCUCUGGGCUGUAACUGACGCUGAGGCGCGAAAGCGUGGGGAGCAAACAGGAUUAGAUACCCUGGUAGUCCACGCCGUAAACGAUGAGUGCUAGGUGUUAGGGGUUUCGAUACCCUUGGUGCCGAAGUUAACACAUUAAGCACUCCGCCUGGGGAGUACGGUCGCAAGACUGAAACUCAAAGGAAUUGACGGGGCCC
Molecule: ribosomal RNA, 574 nt
Filed under: Paenibacillus sp.
Lineage: Bacteria; Bacillati; Bacillota; Bacilli; Caryophanales; Paenibacillaceae
Description: bacterial SSU rRNA
Rfam family: Bacterial small subunit ribosomal RNA
Source: RNAcentral